Lethenteron reissneri (Far Eastern brook lamprey) is the source of this 962-nucleotide long non-coding RNA. RefSeq lists it as uncharacterized. Lineage: Eukaryota; Metazoa; Chordata; Hyperoartia; Petromyzontiformes; Petromyzontidae. The record is from RefSeq and is a predicted model, not a curated record.
UUCCAGCUGCCUAAGUGGAUACAUAUCUGCAUUUUUCUGAGAUGGCAUCAAGAGGCUGUAAGCAUCCGGCAGACGCAUUUUGCUAUGUCUGCAGCCAAUUUAUCAAGACAAGAGUGAAAAAGUACUCUGUGGAAGCAUCUGCUAAGAUGUGUGAGGCCUACAAGGCAUAUUUCGGCAUGACAAUCGGGGACCAAGACAAACCCUGGGCACCUCAUGUCACCUGCAAGCAAUGCAAAAAAACUCUGAAAGGAACCCACUUGCCACUCAAGCAACUACUACUUCUGCAUGGUGGACCCUUCCAAACGUCGGACUAGCAAGAAUGCACCUGCCAUCACGUAUCCGGACUUUCCUUCAUCCAUCGCCCCGGUGUCACACUGCCAUGAGCUCCCCGUACCCACUCCUCCGGAGAGAGAACAGCCGUGUUUGGAAGAGGAUUACAACAGCACCAAUACUUUGCUGGAUGCCUUGAAGUAUGAUGAGUAUGGCUGGGAGGUCAUCAAAGACUUAAAAUUGUGGCAAUCCUGAUGGGUCUCCAAGGCGGUUUUACCAAGUUUCCUUGCUAUCUUUGCGUUUGGGACAGCAGAUACACCACACCAAGGCGCACUACCACAGGUGGGACCGAGUUCUCUGUGGGGAGGAACAACAUCAAGUGGGAGCCACUGGUGGACCCCCGGAAGGUGCUGAUGCCACCACUGCACAUCAAAUUGGGCCUUAUGAAACAAUGUCAGUGCUGUAGAUAAGGAGUCAGCAGCCUUCAAGUAUAUUCAAGACUUCUUCCCUGCCACAAGGCAAAGGUCAAAGCCAGUGUCUUCACAGAUAAAGAAGAUCCUGGAGUGCAAUGAAUUCCCCAAGAAGCUCACUGGUAAUGACAAUGUCAAUGUGAGCUGCUCAAUUCAAUUAUUGAAGAAGUUCGCAAUAUGUGGAGGGAAAGGUGGGAGAGAAUGCAAAAGAACACAAGGUAC